AGAUUGAACGCUGGCGGCAGGCCUAACACAUGCAAGUCGAGCGGCAGCGGGAAGUAGUUUACUACUUUGCCGGCGAGCGGCGGACGGGUGAGUAAUGUCUGGGGAUCUGCCUGAUGGAGGGGGAUAACUACUGGAAACGGUAGCUAAUACCGCAUGACCUCGCAAGAGCAAAGUGGGGGACCUUAGGGCCUCACGCCAUCGGAUGAACCCAGAUGGGAUUAGCUAGUAGGUGGGGUAAUGGCUCACCUAGGCGACGAUCCCUAGCUGGUCUGAGAGGAUGACCAGCCACACUGGAACUGAGACACGGUCCAGACUCCUACGGGAGGCAGCAGUGGGGAAUAUUGCACAAUGGGCGCAAGCCUGAUGCAGCCAUGCCGCGUGUGUGAAGAAGGCCUUCGGGUUGUAAAGCACUUUCAGCGAGGAGGAAGGGGUUGAGUUUAAUACGCUCAAUCAUUGACG
RNAcentral lists this ribosomal RNA (459 nucleotides) under Yersinia pestis biovar Antiqua str. B42003004. Its description in RNAcentral is "SSU rRNA". It matches the Rfam family "Bacterial small subunit ribosomal RNA", at positions 26 to 474 of the family's 1533-position model. The record is from RNAcentral. Lineage: Bacteria; Pseudomonadati; Pseudomonadota; Gammaproteobacteria; Enterobacterales; Yersiniaceae.